Molecule: long non-coding RNA, 6091 nt
Filed under: Zea mays
Lineage: Eukaryota; Viridiplantae; Streptophyta; Magnoliopsida; Poales; Poaceae
Description: long non-coding RNA (ZMAY_LNC001240)
Source: RNAcentral
GUCGCGUCAGAGCAGAGCUGUCGUUCGUCCAGAUGCAGGUCCAGUCCUUGUCGGUGGUGUUGACUGUAGAGCACGCUGUGCUCUGAUCUGGGCUGCUAGCACAUUGGCUCAUGCUUUGUGCCGUUCUACGGCGAUCAUUCCAUUUGGACUGGUCAAGUCGUUUCGGGGUUGUCAAGGUGAGUGUGUCCUGAGUUCUGACCAGGACCCGGCGAACAGAACCAAAAUACUGGGCACGGUGUCUUACUAAACACAAAAUAAACGAAGUCGGUGAAGCUCGUCUUAGCGUCAAGUCUUGGCAGAUCUGAGAGAAGGAAAAGGAAAAUAAAUUGAAAGCCCGGCGAAUAUUCAAAGGUUUUUCCUUUAAAAGAAAACACGAACUCCAAGGCGAGCCAGAGCUUUCAGCAUCUUCCUCCAGCCAACCGCUUUCCCUAUGCAAUAUUCUCUCCCUCGCGGUCGCCUCCCUCUCGCUUCCGGUGGCGGCCUGCAAGCUGCCAGUCUGCACGGCAGGAGUCGCAGGACUGAGCAAGGAGCCAAGGAGAUGGGAGGAGAACAGAGAAGAAGCGGGCAACUGGACGUCUGGAUGGACGGCAUUAAAGACAUCCAUCACCCAACCGCAGCACCUUGAAAGGCCUAGUAGAAGUGAUGCAGGGAUCACAAUCCGAACAAUCAGCACAGCACAGAAUGGAAUACUAAGCACGAAACAAAGAACAUGUUGUCGGAAUAACAUUUUUCUUAACAACAAAAACAACAGGUUACUGACUGCACUAAAAAGGGCUGGUAAGAGUUCGGGACUACAAGUGGUUGAGGAUCUGGACGAGCAGGAGGAGGACACCAGGAUCUCGUGCUCCUCCCCGCACAUUCCAUCGUCGACCACGGGCUUUCCUGACUGAUGGUUCUUUCUACAAGGGACAUGAAACGGAAUCAAGCUAGACGAUGUCAAACUAACCAGAUGAGUAACUCUAAAGAAGCUGCUACUGCUGCUGCUCCAUGACUACACAGGGAAAUGGAAACCGUAUGUACAGUUUCAGUGCUGUAAGCUUUACUUCUCCAUGACCAUGGCGUCCCCCGUGUAGGUCUCGUCGCGGGCACCGGGGCAUGCGACGGCGGCCGCGCUCUCAGAGGGCACUAGCUCGUCGGCGGUGUCCACCAGGCAGAGCUCCUCCACGGCAACGAGCCGCCGGCGGAGGUCGGCCAUGUCGCGCUCCAUCAGGAAGAGGCGCUCCCGGAGGGUCAGGUUCUCCUCCUCCAGCCUCGCGGCGCGCGCCUCGUCGUCCUCCUCGCCCAGGGCGGCCGAGGCCGCGGCCGCGGCCGGGAGGUGGACCAUCUCGAAGCGGCUGAGGUCGUGGUCCAGGCGGCGCUCCACCUCGACGUGCUCCUCCACCUCGCUCUCGCCGGAGCCCGAGUCGUCGCCGCCGGCGUCCCCGGCGUCGGCGCGCAGGCGGAUGAGGCCCUUCAUGGACCCGUACCCGUCCACGCCCCACGCCUCCUUGGCCAUCUCCACCAGCACCUCCCGCGCCGGCGACAGCACGGGGGUCGGAAGCACCGCCGGCGUCACGGGGCACGGCGACACCAGCGACGCCACGCCCCCCGCCCGCUUCGCACGGAUGAGGAACGACGUCGUGUUGCGCGGGGCCGCCGCGCCGCCCCACCUGCCGCCGACCGACGCCGGCGGCGCCGGCGGCUGCGCCUUGCGCUUCCAGGGCGUCCGCGCCGCCCGCUUCCACGCCUGCCGCGCCGGCUUGAACGCGGCCACCGGAGGCUCCAUCGCCGGCACCGCCGCCCACAUCUGGUGGAACGGCAGCGGCGCCGUAGGUCGCAUCAUCUGCUCAUUCAUGGUCUGACUCGGAAGUCGGGAGAACUAAUUCUCCAGAUCCGAAACCCUAUAUCACUGAAUCACAAGCCAAAGCACGCCGAAGUAUCACACGAUUAGCCCCGAGACCUGAUCACAGGAUCUGAACGUUCUCGUUUUAAUCCCUUCGAUCCAGUCAAUCGUGUGUUUUCUGAGAUUAUUUAACGAAUUCGUUCGACGCGAAUUUGGGGAGGGGGGAAGAGGUGGAGAGAAGGAAGAAAGAAAAGAAACAGCGUAUCGUAGGAAGAAAGGGCCACGCCCACACGCGGGUACGCGGGUAUAUAAAGAGGAGAGAGGUGGGAGGGAGGCCGUCGGCUGGAUCCGGAGUCGCGGACUACGGACGGCUAGCACUAGCAGGGAGGCGUCCGAGCGGUUGCGUGUCGUGGAUGGACAGCACGGGCUGUGCCGCCAUGGGACGACAACUUUCUGGGCGCUACGAAGCAAACGGCAAAAGGCGCACGGUUUUCCAUUUGUAUCGGUUUUUUAUGGGGAGAACUGCCGUUUAAUUGAUUUAUAAAAAAUGCUUUCGUUUCGAUUUUGUUGCGUUCUCAAUGUGACGACAGCUUGUUGUUUAACUAGUGCACUAGUGCAAUUUGUUCGCUUUACUAAGUUAUUACAUGUCUUAAUGUUAGAAAUAUAGGCAUUUUCCGUAUUAUUUUAAUUCCAUAAAUUAACAUUAUGAUGAUGACAUAUAAUAGAUAAUCAAACAUAGAUAACAUAAUCUCAAAAAUAUCCAUAACAAUAUGGAUCAUGAGAACACAAAGCAUAUGAAGCAUGUAAAUCAUAUAAAUAAAAUAAGUAUAUAAACAUGGUUCAUGGAUUAUUGCGGAACAACUGGAAAUAAACAGAUAAUAAUAUAAACAGGAUGACUGUAAAAUUAAGACAGACAGAUAUAACAUAUUAUAAUACGAUAGAACAAAACUACAUACGACAUAUAUAAUAUGCAGAAUAUAAAACUGUAAUGAACUGAAUUGAUCAUACCCUCCCAUGCGCUCCGAGGAUCCUGAUCCUUGUCCAAUUUCUUUUGUCAUCCGAUCGAGAUGAAGACAGCAAGAACAACAGACGUUGGGCAGUCGCGUAGACGCUCCCCAAAAACCUAAUUGUCGAUCCCCCGUGCAAGGUCUCGAACGGCACCGGCUUCGGAGGCACCUGCCCUCUCGCUUCUCUGUGCGCGCAGAGUCACGAGAUGGAAAUACCCUCACUCGGUGGCUGGACUGUGAGACUGAAAGUGUUUCUCGCGUGUACCGAGUGACAGGGGUGCUCCUCUAUUUAACCUCUCGCAGAGGGAAGCUGAAGGAGAAAGGUCGCCGAGUCACGCCAAGAGUCGACCAGCUCUAGCCGAGUUAUGCCAUGAGUCGGCCAGCUCUCGCCGAGUCACGCCAUGAGUCGGCAGCUGAAGGAGAAGGGUCACUCGGCUGGCUGACGAAGAGACAGGGUCACUCGGCAGACGAAGAGACAGAGUCACUCGGCUGACGUACGCGGUUAGUGAGUGCUAAAAAUUAACACAACCACACCACGCCCGCUCGCCUGCCUCGCCACGCCACGCCCGGCCCGGCCCGGCCGGCGGCGGCGGCGGCGCGCGCGCGCGCGUGUGGCACGCCCUUGUCCAUUUCUUGACUUCUCUGGAUAAGUGGAAUAAAUCCCACCAUAUAAGUCAAGGCAAAAGACCCUUGGACUUCCAAUGUGGUACUAUUGGUAUUCUCCACCAUUACACACCAUAGAGUUUAUUCAAUAAAUGGGCCAAGCCCAUAAAAGAUCCAACAAUCCCCACCAAACUCUAGGGUUUGUAACGAUGAAGUAUCAGAAUCACAAUCCUUUGAUAUACCAGUGUUUCGAUGGAGACUGUUAAGUUGAACAUCCAUCUAGAAUAAGAGUUUCACUCAUUCACAACUGAACAAUGGACUAUGCCUUGAAUUGACAGUUUUGUGCGAAAUAAGAUUCACUCAAAUCCUUUGCUGAUACUAGGCUGCAAAAGGGUAUUCCCGCUGUUUAGAAGCAUAUAAGUCACACUUCAGUGCCUUUCAUGAGUAUUUAGGGAUUACCCAAGUCCCAUAGACUGUGACUAACAGUCUGACUCAUAUAGGUGUAUUCCUCAGAAGAUGUUCUGUAGGACAACAUCUCACCUUUAUAAGACUCUUGGAAUACAUUAAGGUAAAAACCAUCCUGCCUUACAGAUAGGAAAGAUGUGCAUCAGAAAUGAGUUAAAGAAGGGAUCUUUCCUCACAAUCUACUCCUAGCUUGUUUCUCCACUCUACUUCACGGGAUCUCCGAUCACAUAGAGCAGGUUACCACUAGAGUAGAUCUCACAUGGGUCUCAUACCCAUUUCCCUCGAUGCACUUUCUAUCACAUUGCGUGAUAGACCCUUAGUGAAUUGAUCUGCCAGAUUAUUCGAUGUGUGGACAUAAUCCACAGUAAUAACUCCGGAGUUUUUCAACUUUCUGACAGAUUUCAAUCUCCUCUUAACAUGCCUUGUAGACUUCAUGUUAUUCCUAGAACUGUUAACCUUUGUAAUCACCGUUUGGUUGUCACAGUUCAUGGAAAUAGACGAUAUCGGUUUUUCAACUAUGAAAGGAUCACGAUGCCCAAGAGGGGGUGAAUUGGGCUUUUCUAAAAAUCAACACAACACUAAUUAAAACCUAAGCAAGAGCUAAACAAGAGCCCAACUUCACCCCAACAACUAGCACUAAGCAAAUAAUACUAGAAAUGUAACAAAGCUAAGAUAAUACUUCAAAUACUUGCUAAACAAAUACACAAUGUAAACAAAGCUAAGAUAAUACUUCAAAUACUUGCUAAACAAUACACAANNNNNNNNNNNNNNNNNNNNNNNNNNNNNNNNNNNNNNNNNNNNNNNNNNNNNNNNNNNNNNNNNNNNNNNNNNNNNNNNNNNNNNNNNNNNNNNNNNNNAAAGGUGGAGAUAAGAUGCUUAUCUUACUGCCAAUGGUGAUAAAAAGCAACGUCAACUCACAUCUAUUUUUAUUGUAUCGUUCCAUCAUCACUUCCAGAAUCCAUUUGUAUACAGUGUAUACGACCGGUUUGCUUCGCUCUUUGGAAGAGAAAGAGCCACACACGAUCGAACCGUUUGGAGUUUGCAUCGCAUCAACGGCCACGCGCGCGGGCACACUAACGGCAUUAUUAUUGGUUUUUUUUUUUUGUUUGGAGCUUGGAUUCGUCGCGUCAGAGCAGAGCUGUCGUUCGUCCAGAUGCAGGUCCAGUCCUUGUCGGUGGUGUUGACUGUAGAGCACGCUGUGCUCUGAUCUGGGCUGCUAGCACAUUGGCUCAUGCUUUGUGCCGUUCUACGGCGAUCAUUCCAUUUGGACUGGUCAAGUCGUUUCGGGGUUGUCAAGGUGAGUGUGUCCUGAGUUCUGACCAGGACCCGGCGAACAGAACCAAAAUACUGGGCACGGUGUCUUACUAAACACAAAAUAAACGAAGUCGGUGAAGCUCGUCUUAGCGUCAAGUCUUGGCAGAUCUGAGAGAAGGAAAAGGAAAAUAAAUUGAAAGCCCGGCGAAUAUUCAAAGGUUUUUCCUUUAAAAGAAAACACGAACUCCAAGGCGAGCCAGAGCUUUCAGCAUCUUCCUCCAGCCAACCGCUUUCCCUAUGCAAUAUUCUCUCCCUCGCGGUCGCCUCCCUCUCGCUUCCGGUGGCGGCCUGCAAGCUGCCAGUCUGCACGGCAGGAGUCGCAGGACUGAGCAAGGAGCCAAGGAGAUGGGAGGAGAACAGAGAAGAAGCGGGCAACUGGACGUCUGGAUGGACGGCAUUAAAGACAUCCAUCACCCAACCGCAGCACCUUGAAAGGCCUAGUAGAAGUGAUGCAGGGAUCACAAUCCGAACAAUCAGCACAGCACAGAAUGGAAUACUAAGCACGAAACAAAGAACAUGUUGUCGGAAUAACAUUUUUCUUAACAACAAAAACAACAGGUUACUGACUGCACUAAAAAGGGCUGGUAAGAGUUCGGGACUACAAGUGGUUGAGGAUCUGGACGAGCAGGAGGAGGACACCAGGAUCUCGUGCUCCUCCCCGCACAUUCCAUCGUCGACCACGGGCUUUCCUGACUGAUGGUUCUUUCUACAAGGGACAUGAAACGGAAUCAAGCUAGACGAUGUCAAACUAACCAGAUGAGUAACUCUAAAGAAGCUGCUACUGCUGCUGCUCCAUGACUACACAGGGAAAUGGAAACCGUAUGUACAGUUUCAGUGCUGUAAGCUUUACUUCUCCAUGACCAUGGCGUCCCCCGUGUAG